GUGGUGACCUGGGAAUCAAUGUGUGAGGUGGUGCUAUGUAGCAGGAACCCCUCUUGCUUUGCAAAUAGUUUUUUGUUUGUUUUCCUUUUUGCCCAAUAGAGCCCUGCUCUACUGACCCUUCAAUGUGCCCGUGUGCCUAAAUAUUCCUGGUCGUGUGAAAAGAACCCAGGUAUUAGCUGAACUAAGGAGCACAAUUCUGCAACAUUUUGGCACCCAAACACGGGGCUUGAGAAAUGAAUGCAAUUGGAGAAACUGGUUGUUUUACCAGGCGUUGAUUGGAAAUGUGUGCUUCCCUUUAAGCAGUCAAGCUCAACUUGCAGAACUGAUGGGAACCCCUUGGGAAAACUGGCCUCAAAUGUUUGUCUACACAGUCCACAUACAGGGUUCUUAACCUGCGUUUUUACCUACAUUUUAGACUGACCCUGCUUGUGCCUGUGAACCAACCAACAAUCUCUGGCUGCAGCUCAGAAAGGACAAAAGAGAAUGGUGGACUGGAGCCCAAAAUGCACACUGGAGGAAGUGGAUGGAGCCACGUGGAUGUCAUGCCUUAUGCAGGGGAGGAGCCUGCUCUCUUCAGCUCCUGUGGUAAUGUGGGAAUCGAUCUGUGAGAUUCCAUGAACUCCAAGUUAAGAACACAUGAUCUGGAUGUUUGACAAAAUACCUUCAGCAGGAAUAAUGAAAGCCCUGACAUUUCUGUGUGCAUAAAAACUGGAAAACUUUAAAAGUAAUAAAUCA
This 735-nucleotide long non-coding RNA is filed under the name Homo sapiens (human). RNAcentral describes it as "p53 upregulated regulator of p53 levels". Lineage: Eukaryota; Metazoa; Chordata; Mammalia; Primates; Hominidae. The record is from RNAcentral.